AUGGCUCCAGCUUCCGCCUCGCUCCUCCCCGCCGCCGGCGCCAAGCGCCCCUUCGCCGCCGACUCCGCCCCUGACGUUGCUGAGCAAGAGCAGCCACUCGCGCAGGAGGAAGCGGUGACCAAGAAGAACGGCCAGAGCGAGCAGCCGAAGCUGGAGUGCCCGCGGUGUAGCUCCACCGACACCAAGUUCUGCUACUACAACAACUACAGCACGGCGCAGCCGCGCCACUACUGCCGCACCUGCCGCCGCUACUGGACGCAAGGCGGCACGCUGCGCAAGGUCCCCGUCGGUGGCGCCUGCCGCCGCGGCUCCGGCAGCAGCAGCAAGCGCCGCAGGUCCUCCGCCGAGCCCCACACGCCCUCCUCCGACUCGACGCCACCGCCGCAGCCAGAACAGCAGGACACGGUCCCCAUGCUGCCGGUCUUCCCGUUCCUCACCGACGGCGGCCCCGUCUUCCUGCCGCAGUUCGACCUCGGGCUCGGCGGCUUCCCGUGGACGACGCCGGCGGCCACAGACAACCUCUACGACAGUCUCGCGCCGUGGGCUGCCUGCGACGGCGCGCUCGCCCCCACCGGCGCAUGGGAGGGCUUCGGUGGCCUCGAGCUCACCUGGCCACCGUCACCACCCCCGGCGGCCGGCAACUGA
Molecule: ribosomal RNA, 645 nt
Filed under: Triticum aestivum (bread wheat)
Lineage: Eukaryota; Viridiplantae; Streptophyta; Magnoliopsida; Poales; Poaceae
Description: partial small subunit ribosomal RNA
Source: RNAcentral